UAGUGAGUUUGUAUCCUGGCUCAGGAUGAACGCUGGCGGUCUGCUUAACACAUGCAAGUCGAACGCAAGUAGAAAUACUUGAGUGGCGGACGGGUGAGUAACGCGUGAGAAUCUGUCUUCAGGUCGGGAACAACCACUGGAAACGGUGGCUAAUACCGGAUAUGCCUAUGGGUGAAAGAUUAAUUGCCAGAAGAAGAGCUCGCGUCUGAUUAGCUAGUUGGUGGGUAACGGCCCACCAAGGCGACGAUGCAUAGCCG
RNAcentral lists this ribosomal RNA (257 nucleotides) under uncultured bacterium. Its description in RNAcentral is "partial 16S ribosomal RNA". It matches the Rfam family "Bacterial small subunit ribosomal RNA", at positions 1 to 289 of the family's 1533-position model. The record is from RNAcentral.